Molecule: ribosomal RNA, 253 nt
Filed under: uncultured bacterium
Lineage: Bacteria
Description: partial 16S ribosomal RNA
Rfam family: Bacterial small subunit ribosomal RNA
Source: RNAcentral
UACGUAGGGGGCAAGCGUUGUCCGGAAUCAUUGGGCGUAAAGAGCGUGUAGGCGGCUCGGUAAGUCCGCUCUGAAAGCCCUGGGCUCAACCCGGGAACUGCUUUUGAAACUGCCGAGCUAGAGUGCGGAAGGGGCAACUGGAAUUCCCAGUGUAGCGGUGAAAUGCGUAGAUAUUGGGAAGAACACCUGAGGCGAAGGCGGGUUGCUGGGCCGACACUGACGCUGAUGCGCGAAAGCCAGGGGAGCGAACGGG